CAGGGGGACGGAGCGGGGGAGAUGCUUACAUGCUGCUCUCAGUAGAAGGCCACCCAGGAGACCCAUGGCCAGCGGUUCCUCCAGGCCCUGGGGGAGAGGCCCCCUUAACGGCAGCACCCAGCCUCACCCGGGGGCUUUUCUGGAGGAUUUGCUGAAGCCCAGGAAGAUGAAUGGACACGGUGAAGGGCAGCAGCAGCGACCGUGGAAUCCAAGUGGCUGGUGUCCAACCAAAAAUGAUUUCCCCCACCAUUCUCCUAGCUGGCUCCCCAUUCUGAGCAUGAGAUGGCAGCUGACCCCCGUCCAAUCAGGUCCUCUCAAUUCUUUGCUCUUACAGCAUUCUGGUCAUUUUCUUCUAAUUUGGCCUGUUCCUUAUGUGCCCCUCGUACAAGACAGUAAGUUCUAAAUAGGGGCCCUGCCUGUCUUGCUCACCUUUGUAUCUCCAGCACGGGGCAUAGGCCUGAAACUUAGUAAAGGGUUCCACAAACAUAGGUUGAAGGAUGAUGCCUGGGUGAAUCUAGUUGUCAGAAUAACUUACCCAUGAAUGAGGGAAUAAUAGAAGACGGUAUAAAAGGAGGUGUGAUAUGGGGACAUUUUCAAGACCUGGAGUUGUCCUGAAUGACAUUGCAGGGACAGAUGCAGGACACUCUAUAUCCUGCCACAACCCACUGAACAGACUGGGAGAGAGCGUAAACUACAGCAUAAACUAUAAUCCAAGCGGUGCAGCAGUGCUCCAAAAUGCACUCAUCAAAUGCAAUGAACGUACCACACUAAUGAAA
RNAcentral lists this long non-coding RNA (776 nucleotides) under Dasypus novemcinctus (nine-banded armadillo). Its description in RNAcentral is "lncRNA (ENSDNOG00000052897.1)". Lineage: Eukaryota; Metazoa; Chordata; Mammalia; Cingulata; Dasypodidae. The record is from RNAcentral.